UACGGAAGGCAGCAGUGGGGAAUAUUGCACAAUGGGCGCAAGCCUGAUGCAGCCAUGCCGCGUGUAUGAAGAAGGCCUUCGGGUUGUAAAGUACUUUCAGCGGGGAGGAAGGCGAUGCGGUUAAUAACCGCGUCGAUUGACGUUACCCGCAGAAGAAGCACCGGCUAACUCCGUGCCAGCAGCCGCGGUAAUACGGAGGGUGCAAGCGUUAAUCGGAAUUACUGGGCGUAAAGCGCACGCAGGCGGUCUGUUAAGUCAGAUGUGAAAUCCCCGGGCUUAACCUGGGAACUGCAUUUUGAAACUGGCAGGCUUGAGUCUUGUAGAGGGGGUAGAAUUCCAGGUGUAGCGGUGAAAUGCGUAGAGAUCUGGAGGAAUACCGGUGGCGAAGGCGGCCCCUGGGCAAAGCUGACGCUCAGGGUGCGAAAGCGUGGGGAGCAAACGAGGGAUUAGGAUACC
This 456-nucleotide ribosomal RNA is filed under the name uncultured bacterium. Its description in RNAcentral is "bacterial SSU rRNA". It matches the Rfam family "Bacterial small subunit ribosomal RNA", at positions 340 to 786 of the family's 1533-position model. The record is from RNAcentral.